GAGCACUUAUUCACUCGCAUCGCAUACAAAUACAAAUACAAUACAGGUACAGCCCCCUUUCUGAGAGAGAGAAUUCAAUUUCAAUUGCGAAUUAUAUGCUGCAGCGAGUGGAGAUUCUGUAUCCAACUGCAAUUGAAUUGUGCGGGUUGAGCUAAUAAUAUGGCGAAUAGCGAAGGGGAUGGGGAGAUCAGGCUCAAAGCAAUCGAGUUGAAGAAAGAGCUGCAGAAGCUGUUGGAGGCGAUUGUGGAGGAUGAAGACCUCAAUCUCAAGACGGUCGAUAGGGCGCAGCAAAUGCUCUCUGUGUUGAAGGAUUUGAAACUCAAGAAGACUGCUGAUUUGGAGCUCCAGUGUCAAGAUUCCAUCCCCGUCGCCGUGCCGGAGGAGUUCAAGUGCCCUCUCUCGAAGAAGCUCAUGAGUGAUCCCGUCAUUCUCUGCACCGGACUGACAUAUGAUCGUGCCUACAUUCAAAACUGGCUUAAAUCUGGGAAGAGGACGUGCCCUCAAACCGAGCAGGUGCUGUCACACACUGCUCUCGUACCAAACCAUUUGAUCCGUGAUAUGAUAACGAACUGGUGCGAGAUUCGUGGGAUCAAACUGCCAGAAUGUAAUUACAAUGAUGGGGAGGCCUUGUCCGAGGCAGACACACGGGAAGUCCACCAUCACCUGGCCAAGUUGUCAUCCACGUUAUUAUCUGACCAGAUAGAAGCUGCUAAAAGACUGCGCCAAUUGACAAAACAAAUUCCUUCCAUUCGUGCGUUAUUUGCUGAAUCUGAAAAGGCUAUUCCACAGCUAGUGUCUGUGCUCUCUCGAGUGAAUACCAAGAUUCAUCAAGGCCUGCUAGAGGACGUUAUCACCACGAUCUUGAACAUCUCCAUCCACGAUAAUAACAAGAGGCGCGUUGCAGAGACGCCUAAUGUGAUUCAGAUUCUUAUUAAUGCUGUGAGGCCAGAGACCGCGACUGUGCGGAUAAGAACCAAUGCAGCUGCAGCCCUUUUCACAUUGAGCGCCCUCGACUCAAACAAGGAAAUGAUUGGGAAAUUGGGCGGCUUGAAGCCCCUCAUCACGCUGCUGGACGAAGGGCAUGAUUUGGCAAUGAAAGAUGCUGCAUCUGCGAUUUUCAGCCUGUGUAUCCUCCAUGAGAAUAAGGUGCAAGCUGUAAAAGAUGGCGCGGUUGGAGUGAUUGUGAAAAAGGUCAAGGAAGGAACACAUGUGAAUGAAUUGUUGGCGAUUCUUGCUAUGCUUUCGACCAACCAGAAGUCGGUUGGGAUGAUGAUCGACAUGGGUGCAGUCCCUUGCUUGCUCCGCAUCAUAAGGGAGAAUCCUUGUCCCCGCAAUAAGGAGAACUGCGUGGCCAUUUUGCAUACAAUCUGCUACAGCGAUCCAAGUACAUGGAGGGACAUGAGAGAAGAGGAGAACAGAAAUCGCACACUAUCUAAGCUCGUUCAAGACGGCACUUCUAGGGCAAAGAGGAAGGCUAAUGGCAUUCUGGAUAGGAUGAACAGAGCUGUCAACAUCAACCACAGCGCAUAAAUGUGAGCACAUAUAUUCUGUAAAUUCUGGUGACAACCCUGCUUUUGAAAACGAUCUUGAGGUUCGUCUCCGACUGGAGGGUGUUUAGUCAUAUGCUAACGCCCUUCCACGUGACAGAGACACAACGAGAGUAAUGUGGGCACAUUGAAUGGCCCUGUGUUGUCUUGCUCCGUGGUCCAUCAAAAUGGCACCAAACUUUUCUGUGUUUGGUCCCUUGCUCUUUAUCUGGUCAGCAACACAUCAAAAUAUCUCUCUCUGUAACACUGCUUUUCAUUCUAUUUUUUUACUGCUGUCAUACAUUGGACGGCUAGCAGGCUGAAACUGGGAAUCGAUAAGGUUCUGUUGUUUGGAUAUUCGUAUUUUUGUUUCUGUUGCGA
Salvia hispanica is the source of this 1907-nucleotide non-coding RNA. Lineage: Eukaryota; Viridiplantae; Streptophyta; Magnoliopsida; Lamiales; Lamiaceae. The record is from RefSeq and is a predicted model, not a curated record.